GACGAACGCUGGCGGCGUGCUUAACACAUGCAAGUCGAACGGAAAGGCCCUGCUUUUGUGGGGUGCUCGAGUGGCGAACGGGUGAGUAACACGUGAGUAACCUGCCCUUGACUUUGGGAUAACUUCAGGAAACUGGGGCUAAUACCGGAUAGGAGCUCCUGCUGCAUGGUGGGGGUUGGAAAGUUUCGGCGGUUGGGGAUGGACUCGCGGCUUAUCAGCUUGUUGGUGGGGUAGUGGCUUACCAAGGCUUUGACGGGUAGCCGGCCUGAGAGGGUGACCGGCCACAUGGGGACUGAGAGACGGCCCAGACUCCUACGGGAGGCAGUAGUGGGGAAUAUUGCACAAUGGGCGGAAGCCUGAUGCAGCAACGCCGCGUGCGGGAUAACGGCCUUCGGGUUGUAAACCGCUUUCGCCUGUGACGAAGCGUGAGUGACGGUAAUGGGUAAAGAAGCACCGGCUAACUACGUG
This 468-nucleotide ribosomal RNA is filed under the name uncultured bacterium. RNAcentral's name for it is "partial 16S ribosomal RNA". It matches the Rfam family "Bacterial small subunit ribosomal RNA", at positions 28 to 507 of the family's 1533-position model. The record is from RNAcentral.